This 92-nucleotide small nucleolar RNA is filed under the name Prolemur simus (greater bamboo lemur). Its description in RNAcentral is "Small nucleolar RNA SNORA42/SNORA80 family (ENSPSMG00000014773.1)". The record is from RNAcentral. Lineage: Eukaryota; Metazoa; Chordata; Mammalia; Primates; Lemuridae.
UCAUGCUGUACCCAUGCCAGGGUAAAUUGCAGCCUUGAACUAUUACCCAGCUGCACCUGUAGACUGUGAGCACUGGAUGAGAUUGCACAGUG